This 496-nucleotide ribosomal RNA is filed under the name uncultured bacterium. RNAcentral describes it as "partial 16S ribosomal RNA". It matches the Rfam family "Bacterial small subunit ribosomal RNA", at positions 28 to 506 of the family's 1533-position model. The record is from RNAcentral.
GAUGAACGCUGGCGGCGUGCCUAAUACAUGCCAGUCGAGCGAACGGACGAGAAGCUUGCUUCUCUGAUGUUAGCGGCGGACGGGUGAGUAACACGUGGAUAACCUACCUAUAAGACUGGGAUAACUUCGGGAAACCGGAGCUAAUACCGGAUAAUAUUUUGAACCGCAUGGUUCAAAAGUGAAAGACGGUCUUGCUGUCACUUAUAGAUGGAUCCGCGCUGCAUUAGCUAGUUGGUAAGGUAACGGCUUACCAAGGCAACGAUGCAUAGCCGACCUGAGAGGGUGAUCGGCCACACUGGAACUGAGACACGGUCCAGACUCCUACGGGAGGCAGCAGUAGGGAAUCUUCCGCAAUGGGCGAAAGCCUGACGGAGCAACGCCGCGUGAGUGAUGAAGGUCUUCGGAUCGUAAAACUCUGUUAUUAGGGAAGAACAUAUGUGUAAGUAACUGUGCACAUCUUGACGGUACCUAAGCAGAAAGCCACGGCCAACUACGU